AUUGAACGCUGGCGGCAUGCCUUACACAUGCAAGUCGAACGGCAGCACGGGUGCUUGCACCUGGUGGCGAGUGGCGAACGGGUGAGUAAGACAUCGGAAAAUGUCCUGUAGUGGGGAAUAGCCCGGCGAAAGCCGGAUUAAUACCGCAUACGAUCUACGGAUGAAAGCGGGGGACCUUCGGGCCUCGCGCUAUAGGGUUGGCCGAUGGCUGAUUAGCUAGUUGGUGGGGUAAAGGCCUACCAAGGCGACGAUCAGUAGCUGGUCUGAGAGGACGACCAGCCACACUGGGACUGAGACACGGCCCAGACUCCUACGGGAGGCAGCAGUGGGGAAUUUUGGACAAUGGGCGAAAGCCUGAUCCAGCAAUGCCGCGUGUGUGAAGAAGGCCUUCGGGUUGUAAAGCACUUUUGUCCGGAAAGAAAUCCUUGGCCCUAAUACGGUCGGGGGAUGACGGUACCGGAAGAAUAAGCACCGGCUAACUACGUG
Molecule: ribosomal RNA, 486 nt
Filed under: uncultured bacterium
Lineage: Bacteria
Description: partial 16S ribosomal RNA
Rfam family: Bacterial small subunit ribosomal RNA
Source: RNAcentral